CUGUGUUAGUCGAAUGCAGAGGAAGCGGUAACGUAUUUCAACGAACCUCGUGGUUUUCUGGAAUAUUCCAACGAACGUUUAUCCAAUUCAUACACAGCUUACCCAAAAAAUGAAGUAGAUGAUACAUCGACGAGCACAAUUGGAGGAAGUGAAAGAGUACCGAACUCGGUAAAGAGAAAAUUCGAAAAGCGAGUUUAACAAAAGAAAAAUGCAACUACGAGAAGCCGCAAGCACGAUAAUUGACCGGAACGAAAGUUUAUCUCGAUGCGAAUGGAGCACCGAGGUAACGAACAAAGGAGCGAAUGAAAGCUUGACGAAUCGUUCGAACGUGUGAGAAGAACUGAAGAAGUCUUGCUAUCUCUGGCAAAGUGCGAAUGUGGAAAAUGCGAGGAAUGUGAAUGGUAAAUAGAUGGGAUAGACACGGAUAGAUACGGGGAAACAUUUAUAAAGGAGAAGACGAAGAUGAAAGAUG
Vespa mandarinia (Asian giant hornet) is the source of this 472-nucleotide long non-coding RNA. NCBI's taxonomy places the organism in Eukaryota, Metazoa, Arthropoda, Insecta, Hymenoptera, Vespidae. The record is from RefSeq and is a predicted model, not a curated record.